RNAcentral lists this transfer RNA (65 nucleotides) under Khawia sinensis. Its description in RNAcentral is "tRNA-Asp". The record is from RNAcentral. Lineage: Eukaryota; Metazoa; Platyhelminthes; Cestoda; Caryophyllidea; Lytocestidae.
GUCGGCAUAGUUUAAUUGGAGAAUUAUUGUUUGUCUAACAAUAGAUGGCUAUUGGCCUGUCGGUG